Molecule: ribosomal RNA, 403 nt
Filed under: uncultured prokaryote
Description: bacterial SSU rRNA
Rfam family: Bacterial small subunit ribosomal RNA
Source: RNAcentral
UGAGGAAUUUUGCGCAAUGGGAGCAAUCCUGACGCAGCAACGCCGCGUGGAUGAAGAAGGCCUUCGGGUUGUAAAGUUCUUUUAUAUGGGAUGAGGAAGGACAGUACCAUAUGAAUAAGUCUCGGCUAACUACGUGCCAGCAGCCGCGGUAAAACGUAGGAGACGAGCGUUAUCCGGAUUUACUGGGCGUAAAGAGCGUGUAGGAGGCAAUACAAGUUGGAUGUAAAAGCUCUCGGCUAAACUGAGAGAGGACGUUCAAGACUGUAGAGCUAGAGGAAGGCAGAGGUAGAUGGAACUCCGGGAGUAGUGGUGAAAUGCGUAGAUAUCCGGAAGAACACCAGAGGCGAAAGCGAUCUACUGGGCCUUAACAGACACUGAGACGCGAAAGCCAGGGUAGCAAACG